UCCCUCCUGUAUUAUUAUUAUUAUUUACAUUUUGAUUCAUAUCAACGGAAAAUAUACGGAACGGAGAAAAUAUUGCAAAAAUAUUUUCUUCAGAAAUAUUUUCUGAAGAUUCUGAAACCAAAUGUAUCAAAACAAAACAACAUCAAAGCUGUGAUCGUGUAUUCACGAUAAGUAGGAGAUGAGCGCAAAAUUUUCCAAAACCUACUUACAAAGAUGGAAAUAUUUUUAUCGUUAAUUAUUUCUAUACUGUUUCAUAAAUUAUUCAUGUAUUUCAUAGAGAAAUAGUAAACAUAGUUAAACAACUCAAGGAGAAAAUAUCGAGAGAGAGAGAGAGAGAGAGAGAGAGAGAGAGAGAGAGAGAGAGAGAGAGAGAGAGAGAGAGAGAGAGAGAGACAAUGAAAAGGAAAUGGUAAGAAGCGAAGUGAAAUUGGAAGCAAACGUUCGAUCUUUGUUAUCGAUUGAAUAGUUCGAGUCUGGUGACAAAUGAGGAAACUAGGAUGGCAGCCCUGAGUCGCGCUGCUAGCCCCUAUCAAGAUGGACUACAUCCAUAAUACAUUAAUGGUCGCGUGCCUCGCACGAGAGUCACGGUGGAAGGAACGAGGAAUAAAAGGCGGAGUGGGCGAAGGUCGGGGAAAAAUUCAACCGAUAGGCUUCGAGGAAACGGAAUAACGGGGACACUCCGAGAAUAAAACAUCUUGCACGCAAUGAUAUUUUUAUAUAUCUUUAUUUUUUUUUCGUAAUAACUCUGCGAAAAAGCAUACCGUUUUUCUAAAACGAUGUUAUAUGAAAUGUGCAAGCUUUUGAAUCAGUAUGCUCCGAAGGUUUUUUGCUUGUCUGUAAUUAAUACUUCGAUAAGAAGAGGAAAGAGGUUAAACACGGUUAAAUAACGUUCUAAUAUUUCAACGAAUCGAGGAUAUCAUUAAUUGUGAGCGAUAAGGAUUAAUAAGGGGAUCUUGAUAAGGGGAUCUAACAGUAAUGGUUCUUAAAACAAACAUAUUGGAUGUCGAGACAAGCUAAAUAAGGAAGCCAAUUGCGAGGACUGCAUAAUGUGAACACCGGCGGCUAAUUAACGAAGUAAUACUGUGUAUACCGUCUCAACUUGGCUACAGCUUAUUCCAAUAUAUAGGUCUCGUGAAAAUAGAGGAGUUGUUGCACGCAUAGCGAUGCUCAUAGCCUGUGCAUAGUUUAAACAAAAACAAUAUCUCUAAUGUAUAUAUGAUGAAAUGGAUAAACGAUCAAUAAACCUGUCAAUUGUCUGUUGA
Long non-coding RNA from Apis mellifera (honey bee), 1262 nucleotides. RefSeq lists it as uncharacterized. NCBI's taxonomy places the organism in Eukaryota, Metazoa, Arthropoda, Insecta, Hymenoptera, Apidae. The record is from RefSeq and is a predicted model, not a curated record. The transcript has 2 exons.